GAUGAACGCUGGCGGCGUGCCUAAUACAUGCAAGUCGAGCGAACGGACGAGAAGCUUGCUUCUCUGAUGUUAGCGGCGGACGGGUGAGUAACACGUGGAUAACCUACCUAUAAGACUGGGAUAACUUCGGGAAACCGGAGCUAAUACCGGAUAAUAUUUUGAACCGCAUGGUUCAAAAGUGAAAGACGGUCUUGCUGUCACUUAUAGAUGGAUCCGCGCUGCAUUAGCUAGUUGGUAAGGUAACGGCUUACCAAGGCAACGAUGCAUAGCCGACCUGAGAGGGUGAUCGGCCACCCUGGAACUGAGACACGGUCCAGACUACUACGGGAGGCAGCAGUAGGGAAUCGUCCGCAAUGGGCGAAAGCCUGACGGAGCAACGCCGCGUGAGUGAUGAAGGUCUUCGGAUCGUAAAACUCUGUUAUUAGGGAAGAACAUAUGUGUAAGUAACUGUGCACAUCUUGACGGUACCUAAUCAGAAAGCCACGGCUAACUACGUG
Molecule: ribosomal RNA, 497 nt
Filed under: uncultured bacterium
Lineage: Bacteria
Description: partial 16S ribosomal RNA
Rfam family: Bacterial small subunit ribosomal RNA
Source: RNAcentral